CGAGAAUCUUUAAGUAAACGUGAUCCUCCAAACAUCUGAUGGCAGUGUCGGGGUUACUCCUGGCCAGUGCGCCUUUCCAACUCGCGGAGCAGGAGAAUUUGAUGAUUUUGAAAGGAUUAAACAUUUGACAAGUGCUAACGUGGUAUUUUUAAAUUUAUAAUUGACAUAUGUUUUGAAAUGGUAUUGUUCUAAUAUUGCGCCAGCCCUGCUUUGAGCAUUUGUUUUGGGAGAACCUAAGAAUUCCAAAAUGAAAAGUGUCAUUUAUAUUUUGGCAGAAAUUUGGUAUUAUUAUUGACAAACGUUAGUUUAUACGUCUUCCCCUCUAUACUCUAAGUCUCCUUAAAAGCACAUUGUGUCCUGUUCUUUUCUGUACCUCAAACAUUUAGCAGUGUCAGUUUCAAUUUAAGUCUUCAGUAAACGUUAAAUAAAUAGCAAUAACUAGAAACACUUCAUCUCACUAAAAAACUUCAAACUACUACUGGGGCCAGCGGAGAGCAUGGCACAGGCGGGUACUAGUAAUUUUAUUUCCUUUUCCUAACGCUUUUGCAGUAUAUGUUUACUUGGUCUUCCAAUUUAAAGUUAUUUUAAAAACAAGUUUAACAGCCAUCUCCCCCCCUCCUUUUUUUUUUUUUUACACUUGAAAGAUGAAAGUGAUUCCCUUAUUUCGGUGUAUUCGUAAAGAUGAAGGCCAAAACAAUUUGUUCUAUGUGUGCGUGGGGGGGGGGGGGUCCUUGGGAUUGAAUCCAUGGACUUGUGCAUGCAAGGCAAGCACUCUACCAGCUGAACUGUAUCCUCUGUCCUGUCUUUUUAAAAAUAUAUUUUUUUUGUUAUGGUCUAGCAUACCUAUAGAUGAUUUUUUUUUUCAGACAAGAUCUUCCUAAAUUGUCCAAUAUGGCUUUGAAUUUAGAUCCUCCUGCCUCAGCCCCCCAAUGGCCAGGAUUACUGGUGUGCACCACCAUUCCAGCCCUGAACUUGUUUUAUAAUUAUAAUUUCAAGUUUACUUAAAGUGGCUUUAAGUUAACUUUGAAUUUAUUUUAUUUUUCUUUCUUUAAAAAAAAAAACAAACAGGGAGAGAGAGAGAGAGAGUUUUAAUAUUUAUUUAUUUAGUUAGUUUUCAGUGGACACAACAUCUUUGUAUGUGGUGCUGAGGAUCGAACCCAGGCCGCACGCAUGCCUGGCGAGCACGCUACCACUUGAGCCACAUCCCCAGCCCUUAUUUUGUUUUUCAUGCUAGAAAUUGAACCCAAGGCCUUGUACAUACUAAGCAUACAGUCUACCAUCAAGCUACACCUCCUAUAUUUUAGACCCUAAAUCAGGAUUGAUUUAUAUACUUGGGAUAGACUACCUGAUUUGAAUGUUAUACUUACCACUUACUUUGAAAGGUAACUUAAUCUCUUUUUACUUUACUUUUCUAUAAUAUGGAGAUAAUAGUAAACUUUCCUCCUAUUAUUAUCAUAAUAAUUAAAUAAGAAUAAUGUUAUGAGCAUAGGAAGCAUUUGAUAAAUGUUUCCACUUGUUGUGAUUAUUCCUAAAUAAAUCUAAUCUUUUGACAUAAUCUUUCUAAGGCUUUCCAGUGUCAAGUCUCAGUCCAAAUCAAAUUUCCCAAUGAUGUUUGAGGCUGCACAAAAGUUCUGAGACUAUCCAAAUCUGAAUCCAAAAACUAUAGAACUAAGCUAAUAAAAAGCAAAGGCAUGGGCUAGGGUUGUGGCUCUGUGGAAGAGCUCUUACCUAGGAUGUGUGAGGCACUGGGUUCAAUUCUCAGCACUGCAUAUAAAUAAACGAAUAAAAUAAAGGUUCACCACAUCUAAAAAAAUAUUUUAAAAAGGAAAGGCAUUCUUUUGAUUAUUAUUCAUCUGAAAUACUCACACUACCUUAUGUUAAACUAAAUUUGGUCUGAGGAUGCUCUAUUCCUUGAUUCCAUACAUAAGGACCGGUAAUCUAACUUAGCAUUUAGACAAACUGGAAGUCUAAUUAAAAAGCAUAUUAUUAUUAUUAUUAUUAUUAUUCCUCCUUCUCUUCUUCCUCCUUCUUUUUUUUUUGUACCAGAGAUUGAAUCCAGUGGCACUUUACCACUGAGCCACAUCCCUAGCCCAUUUUUUUUUUUUUUUAGUUAUAGUUGGACACAAUACCUUUAUUUCACUUAUUUAUUUUUAUGUGGUGCUGAGGAUCGAACCCAAGUCUCGCACAUGCAAGGCAAUCACUCUACCGUUGAGCCACAAUCCCAGCCCCCUAGCCCAUUUUUUUUAUUCUAAUUUGUUAUAUAUGACAUCAGAAUGCAUUAUAAUUCAUAUUACAUAUAUAGAGCAUAAUGUCUCAUAUCGCCAGUUGUAUACAAAGAAUAUUCACACAAUUCAUGUCUUCAAACAUGUAUUUAGGGUAAUAAUGUCCAUAUCAUUCUACCAUCUUUCCUACCCCCAUAACUCCUCUAUUCCCCUCCCACCCCUUUGCCCUAUCUAGAGUUCUAAUUCUCCCUUGCUCCCCCUCUUAACCCCAAUAUGUACCAGCCUCCUUAUAUCAGAAAACAUUCAGCAUUUGUUUUUGGGGGGAUUGACUAACUUCAUUUAGCAUUAUAUUCUCCAACUUCAUCCAUUCACCUGCAAAGGCCAUGAUUUUAUUCUCUUUUAUUGCUGAGUAAUAUUCCAUUAUGUAUAUAUACCACAUUUUCAUUAUCCAUUCAUCUACUGAAGAGCAUCUGUGCUGGUUCCAUAGUUUAGUUAUUGUGUGCAAUAAACAUUGAUUUGGCUGUGUCCCUGUAGUAUGCUGUUUUUAAGUCCUUUGGAUAUAGACCAAGGAAAGGGAUAGCUAGAUCAAAUGGUGGUUCCAUUCCCAGUUAUCCAAGGAAUCUCCAAACUUCUUUCCAUAUUGGCUGUACCAUUUUGCAGUCCUACCAGCAAUGUAUGAGUGUGCUUUUUUCCCCACAUCCUUGUCAACACUUACUGUUAUUUGUAUUCUUAAUAACCACCAUUCUGACUGAAGUGAGAUGAAAACUUAGUUUUGAUUGUAUUUCUCUAAUUACUAGAGAUAUUGAACAUUUUUUCAUAUAUUUGUUGAUUGAUUGUAUAUCACCUUCUGAGAAGUGUCUGUUCAGUUCCUUGGACCAUUUAUUGAUUGAGUUAUUUGGUUUUUUUUUUUUUUUGGUGUUAGCCUUUUGAGUACUUUAUAUACCCUAGAGAUAAGAGCUCUAUCUGAUGUUCAAGUGGUAAAAAUUUGCUUCCAAGCUGUAUGUUCUCUAUUCACCUCACUGAACAUUUCUUUUGCUGAGAAGAAGCUAUUGAGUUUGAAUUUGUCCCACUUAUUAAUUCUUGAUUUUAAUUCUUACACUAUAGGAGUAUUAUUAAGGAAGUAAGGGCCUACUCGACUAUGAUGGAAGUUGGGCCUACUUUUUUUUUUCUAUGAGAUGCAGGGUCUCUGGUUUAAUUCCUAUGUCCUUGAUCCACUUUGAGUUGAGUUUUGUGCCUGGUGAGAAAUAGAGGUUUCAUUUCAUUUUGUUGCAUAUGGAUUUCCAGUUUCCCCAGAACCUUUUGUUGAAGAGGCUAUCUUUUCUCCAAUAUAGCCUCUAAAAUAAGAGCAUUUGUCUAAAAUAAGAUAACUUUAAUUUUAUGAGUUAGUCUCUGUGUCCUCUAUUCUGUUCCAUUGGUCUACAAGUCUAUUUUGGUGCCAAUACAAUGCUGUUUUGUUACUAUUACUCUGUAGUAUAAUUUAAGGUCUGGUAUCAUGAUGCCACCUACUUCACUCUUCUUGCUAAGGAUUGCUUUAGCUAUUCUGGGUCUUCUAUUUUUCCAGAUGAAUUUAAUGACUGCUUUUUCUAUUUCUAUGAGGAAAGUCAUUGGAAUUUUGAUUGGAAUUGUAUUAAAUCUGCAUAAUGCCUUUGGUAGUAUGGUCAUUUUGACAAUAUUAAUUCUGCUUAUCCAAGAAAGGAGAUCUUUCCAGCUGCUGAGGUCUUCUUUAAUUUCUUUCUUUAGCAUUCUGUAGUUUUCAGUGUAGAGGUCUUUUACCUUUUUUGUUAGGUUUAUUCCCAAAUAUUUUCUCUUUUUUUGAGGCUAUUGUAAAUGGGGUAGUUUUCCUUGUUUCCCUUUCAGAAGAUGUGUCACUGAUGUACAGAAAUGCCUUUUAUUUAUGGGUGUUGAUUUUUAUAUUCUGCUACUUUCAUGAAUUCGUUUACUAGUACUAGAAGUUUUCUGGUAGAAUUUUUGGGGUCUUCUAGAUAUAGAAUCAUGUCAUAGGCAAAUAGUGCUAAUUUGAGUUCUUGUUUUUCUAUCUGUAUCCCUAUAAUUUCUUUUGGGGUCUGUCUAAUUGCUCUGGCAAGUGUUUCAAGAACUAUGUUAAAUAGAAAUGAUGAAAUGGGCAUCCCUGUCUUGUUCCAGUUUUUAGUGGGAAUGCUUUCAAUUUGUCUCCAUUUAGAAUGAUGUUCACCUGGGGUUUUGCAUAGAUAGCUUUUACAAUGUUGAGAUAUGUUCCUGUUAUCCCUAGCUUUCUAGCAUUUUGAACAUGAAGCAUUGCUGUAUUUUGUCAAAUGCCCUUUCUGAAUCUAUUGAGAUGAUCAUAUGGUUCUUAUCUUUAAGUCUAUUGAUGCAAUGAAUUACAUUUAUUGAUUUUUGUAUGUUGAACCAACUUUGCAUCUCUGGGAUGAACCCCACUUGAUCGUGGUGAACUAUCUUUUUUAUAUGUUUUAUAUUCAAUAUGCCAGAAUUUUAUUGAGAAUUUUUUCAUCUAUGUUCAUUAGAGAUAUUGGUCUGAAGUUGUCUUUCUUUAAUGUGUCAUUGCCUGGUUUUGGAAUCAGGGUGAUACUGGCCUCAUAGAAUGAGUUUGGAAGUGCUGCCUCUUUUUCUAUUUCCUGAAAUAAAUUGAAGAGUAUUAGUAUUAGUUCUCUUUAAAGGUCUUGUGGAACUCAACUGUGUAUCCAUCCAAUUCUAGGCUUUACUUAAUUGGUAGGAUUCUGAUGGGGUCUUCUAUUUCACUGCUUGAUAUGGAUCUGUUUAAAUUGUGUAUAACAUCCUGAUUUAAUUUGGGCAAAUAAUAUGACUCUAGAAAUUUGUUGAUACCUUUGGUAUUUUCUAUUUUAUUGGAGUACAAGUUUUCAAAAUAAUAUAAUUCUCUCCUGUAUUUCUGUAGUAUCUAUUGUGAUAUUUUCUUUAUCAUCACGUACGUUAGUAAUUUGAGUUUUCUCUCUCCUUCUCUUUGUUAGCAUAGGUGACGGUUUGUCAAUUUUAUUUAUUUUUUCAAAGAAUAAACUUUCUGUUUUGUCAAUUUUUUUCAAUUGUUUCAAAUUCAUUAAUUUGAACUAUGCUCUUAAUUAUUUCCUGUCUUCUGCUUUUGGUGUUGAUUUGUUCUUCUUUUUCUAGGGCUUUGAGAUGUAAUGUUAAUCAUUUAUUUGUUCACUUUUUUUUCUUUUAUGGAAUGAACUCCAUACAAUAUACUUUCCUAUUAGAAUUGCUUUCAUAAUGUACCAGAGAUUCCAAUAUGUUGUAUCUCUGUUCUCAUUCACCUCUAAAAAACUUUUAAACUCCUCCUUGAUGUCUACUGUAACACAUUGUUCAUUCAGUAGCAUAUUAUUUAGUCUCCAAGUGUUGGAGUGGAUUUUGUUUCUUAUUUUAUCAUUGAUUUCUAAUUUCAUUCCAUUAUGAUAUGAUAGAAUGCAGGGUAGUAUCUCUACUUUUUUAUAUUGCUAAAAGUUGCUUUGUGGCAUAGUAUAUGGUCUAUUUUAGAGAAGGAUCCAUAUGCUACUGAGAAGAAAGUAUAUUCUCUCAUUGAAGGAUGGAAUAUUCUGUAUAUGUCAGUUGUCUAAGUUAUUGAUUAUAUUAUUGAGUUCUAUAGUUUGUUCAGCUUUUGUUAGGAAGAUCUAUCUAGUGAUGAAAGAAGCGUGUUUAAGUCACCCACAAUUAUUUUGUUGUAGUCUAUUUGACUCUUGAACGUCAGAAAAGUUUGUUUGAUCAACGUAGAUGCUCCAUUGUUUCGGGCAUAUAUAUUUAUAAUUGUUAAGUUUUGUUGGUGUAUGGUUCCCUUGAGCGGUAUGUAGUGUUCUUCUUUAUCCUUUUUGACUGACUUUAGUUUGAAGUCUGCUUUACUUGAUAUGAGGAUAGAAACCCCUGCUUGCUUCCGCAGUCCAUAUGAGUGGUAUGAUUUUUCCCAACCCUUCACCUUCAUUCUGUGGAUGUCUUUUUCUAUGAGGUGAGUCUCUUGGAGGCAGCAUAUUGUUGGACCUUUUUUUUUUUUUAUCCAAUCUGCUAGUCUAUGUCUUUUGAUUGGUGAGUUUAGGGCAUUAACAUUCAGGGUUAUUAUUGAAACAUGAUUUGUAUUCCCAGCCAUUUUUAUUUUUGGUAUUUAACAUGACUUGGUUUCUCCUCUGAUUAGAUUUUCCUUUAGUGUAAUCCCUCCCUCUACUGAUUUUCAUCAUUGUUUUUCAUUUUCUCUUCAUGAAGUAUUUUGCUGAGGAUGUUCUGUAGUGCAGGCUUUCUAGUUGUGAAUUCUUGUAACUUUGGUUUAUCAUGGAAGGUUUUCGUUUCCUCAUCAAAUCUAAAGCUUAGUUUUGCUGGAUAUAAGAUUCUUGGCUGGCAUCCAUUUUCUUUUAGAGCUUGGUAUAUGUUUUUCCACGAUCUCAUGGCUUUGAGAGACUAGGUUGAAAAAUCUGCUGAGAUACGAAUUGGUCUCCCCCUAUAUAUGAUCUGAUUCCUCUCUCUUGCAACUUUUAAUAUUCUAUCAAUAUUCUGUAUGCUAGACAUUUUCAUUAUAAUGUGCUUUGGUGUAGAUCUGUUGUAAUUUUGUACAUUUGGUGUCCUGUAAGCCUCUUGUAUUUGGUUUUCCAAUUCGUUCUUCAUGCCUGGGAAAUUUUCUGAUAUUAUCUCAUUGAAAAGAUUGUGCAUUCUUUUGGUUUGAAACUCUGUGCCUUCCUCUAUCCCAAUAACUCUUAUAUUUGGUCUUUUGAUACUGUCCCAUAUUCUUGGAUGUUCUGUUCAUGUUUUCUAAGUAUCUUCACUGUGUGAUCAACUUUAUUUUCCAGACUGUAUACUUUGUCUUCAUUAUCUGACUUUUUUUCUUCCAAGUGAUCUAGUCUGUUGCUUAUGCUUUCUAUUGAGUUUUUUAUUUGAUAAAUUGUAUCCUUCAUUUCAAGGAUUUCUGACUGUUUUUAUUUUUCAGGGUCUCUAUCUCUCUCUAAGUAAUCUUUCUCUACCUGUGUUUGCCCUCUUAUCUGAUUAAUUUUUGCUUGUAUUUGCUCAUUUAGGUCAUUCUUUAAUUCACAGAUCAUUUUAAUUAUGAACCUUCUUAACUCCUUCUCUGACAUUUCAUCAACUUUGCUGUCGGUGGGUUCUGUUAUUACAGUGUCCUGGAUUGUUUGGGGCAGUUUCCUCCCUUGUUUUUUCAUGUUGUCUAUGUGUCUUCCUUUCUUACAGUAUGGAUCUGAGAUAUUACAGUUUCUUCCCUAUAUUUUUGUAACCUGUGCAGAUUGUCUGUACCUCACUUUGAUAUUGGGCUUCCGGACCCUGCUGGUGUCCCUUAAUGAAUGCUACUUCAUCCUGGAUCUGGGUCCUGCAUAAGUUGGAGUGGGUGGAUCUGGGCCGCUGGGCUUGACCUCAAGUAGUAGUCUGUUGGUCAGAAGGGGCAGUCCUGUGCCAGAGGUUAAGCUCUGGCGGGUGUCUGCCUUGCAGGUGGAGGGGUAAACUGGGCCUACUGAGAGCCUGUGUCCUGUGCGGGGCUGGUGUGGGUGGAUCUGGGCCACCGGGCUUGACCAUCCAUGGUACUCUCCAGGUUGGAAGGGCUAAAUUUUUUCUUUUAACAUAUUAAAUUGCCCAUUAAAUAACCUUGGAUUAACAAUGAAAUAUUUCAAUGAAACAGCUAAAUAAGUAUAAUUUAUUUGUUUCUUCCACAGCAAUGAAAAACCCUUCAACUAUGAUCCUUGAAGUCUAUUGGAGAGAGAUACAAACAAAAAAUCUUGAAAUAGCCAGACAGAGUGGCUCAGGCCAGCAGCUUGGGAGGCUGAGGUAGGAGGAUCAAAAGUUCAAGAUCAGCCUCAGCAAUUCAGCAAGUCCAGACGCAAUUUAAUCAGAUGCUGUCUCAAAAUAUAUGCCUGGCUCAGGACCACCCCACGGAUCCGCAUGGGACCCCAGGUCCAGGCUCUGGCCUAGGACCACACUGAGGACAUGCAGACCCCCACUGGACCAUAGCCCUGGCCUAAGACCAUCUCAAUGGCCUGGGUGAGAGCCAAGGAUAAGUUCUAGUGAAAAGCCAGCAUCUACCUCAGAGCAAAGCCUGUCCAAGGAAGGGGACGUGACCCUUGUCCUUGGAAAGACCCACAGAGCACUCCUAGGCACAUACCCACCCUGCUGAGUUUAUCUAAAAAUAACCAGAGAGAUCUGUGAGCCAGGUGUCCCUGACUCAGUCAGGCUAGGUGGAGACCCAUAGCAACCCCCUAGCAGCCACCAAUCAGCAUAAGACAGGGAAAUACCUGGGAUGCCAGAUGACCUUCCCAGUAGUUUAUGGUGGUUGAUAACGUGUUGGGAAACCAUGUAGUUCAGCAGUACUCCCCCUCAUGGCUUAAACCAAUCAGUUCAAAUGAAUCCCCCUCUUGUAGUAACCAAUCACCCUUACUCAACUUGUUCCCACCAGUGGAUGUGCUAAUCAUGUUUUAGAGUUGUUUUAUGAUUUUCCAGCGGUGUGUGAUGAUUUGCUAAGAGAGGCUAUGAUGUAUGUGAAGUCCCUGCCUUCCCCAAAGAGUGUAUAAAACUGCUGCAAAACUUGGGCUCAGGGCCUCUCAGCGUCACCAGUUGCUGUGUGCGCACAGAGGACCG
This 8783-nucleotide long non-coding RNA is filed under the name Marmota monax (woodchuck). The record is from RNAcentral. Lineage: Eukaryota; Metazoa; Chordata; Mammalia; Rodentia; Sciuridae.